AAAAACAAAGCUUCUAUUAAGCAUUUUAUUUACAAUAAAAAGAAUCUAUAGGAUGUUUUUA
This 61-nucleotide transfer RNA is filed under the name Grandidierella osakaensis. Its description in RNAcentral is "tRNA-Val". Lineage: Eukaryota; Metazoa; Arthropoda; Malacostraca; Amphipoda; Corophiidae. The record is from RNAcentral.